This 253-nucleotide ribosomal RNA is filed under the name uncultured bacterium. RNAcentral describes it as "partial 16S ribosomal RNA". It matches the Rfam family "Bacterial small subunit ribosomal RNA", at positions 524 to 776 of the family's 1533-position model. The record is from RNAcentral.
UACGAAGGGAGCUAGCGUUGUUCGGAAUCACUGGGCGUAAAGCGCACGUAGGCGGAUGUGUCAGUCAGGGGUGAAAUCCCGGAGCUCAACUUCGGAACUGCCUUUGAUACAGCACGUCUUGAGUCCGAUAGAGGUGGGUGGAAUUCCUAGUGUAGAGGUGAAAUUCGUAGAUAUUAGGAAGAACACCGGUGGCGAAGGCGGCCCACUGGAUCGGUACUGACGCUGAGACGCGAAAGCGUGGGGAGCAAACAGG